This 483-nucleotide ribosomal RNA is filed under the name uncultured bacterium. RNAcentral describes it as "partial 16S ribosomal RNA". It matches the Rfam family "Bacterial small subunit ribosomal RNA", at positions 28 to 507 of the family's 1533-position model. The record is from RNAcentral.
GACGAACGCUGGCGGCGUGCUUAACACAUGCAAGUCGAACGCUGAAGCUCAGCUUUUGUUGGGUGGAUGAGUGGCGAACGGGUGGGUAACACGUGAGUAACCUGCCCCCUUCUUUGGGAUAACGCCCGGAAACGGGUGCUAAUACUGGAUAUUCACUGGUCUUCGCAUGGGGGUUGGUGGAAAGGGUUUUUCUGGUGGGGGAUGGGCUCGCGGCCUAUCAGCUUGUUGGUGGGGUGAUGGCCUACCAAGGCUUUGACGGGUAGCCGGCCUGAGAGGGUGACCGGUCACAUUGGGACUGAGAUACGGCCCAGACUCCUACGGGAGGCAGCAGUGGGGAAUAUUGCACAAUGGGCGCAAGCCUGAUGCAGCGACGCCGCGUGAGGGAUGGAGGCCUUCGGGUUGUGAACCUCUUUCGCUCAUGGUCAAGCCGCAACAAUGGUUGUGGUGAGGGUAGUGGGUAAAGAAGCGCCGGCUAACUACGUG